Molecule: transfer RNA, 75 nt
Filed under: Xylella fastidiosa
Lineage: Bacteria; Pseudomonadati; Pseudomonadota; Gammaproteobacteria; Lysobacterales; Lysobacteraceae
Also listed under: 6 other names
Description: tRNA_Val_GAC
Rfam family: tRNA
About the family: Transfer RNA (tRNA) molecules are approximately 80 nucleotides in length.
Source: RNAcentral
GGGCGGUUAGCUCAGUGGUAGAGCACUACCUUGACAUGGUAGGGGUCACAGGUUCGAGCCCUGUACCGCCCACCA